GACGAACGCUGGCGGCGUGCUUAACACAUGCAAGUCGAACGGAAAGGCCCUGCUUUUGUGGGGUGCUCGAGUGGCGAACGGGUGAGUAACACGUGAGUAACCUGCCCUUGACUUUGGGAUAACUUCAGGAAACUGGGGCUAAUACCGGAUAGGAGCUCCUGCUGCAUGGUGGGGGUUGGAAAGUUUCGGCGGUUGGGGAUGGACUCGCGGCUUAUCAGCUUGUUGGUGGGGUAGUGGCUUACCAAGGCUUUGACGGGUAGCCGGCCUGAGAGGGUGACCGGCCACAUUGGGACUGAAAUACCGCCCAGACUCCCUACAGGAAGCAGCCAGUGGGGAAUAUUGCACAAUGGGCCGAAGCCUGAUGGCAGCCACGCCCCGUGCGGGAUGGACCGCCUUCGGGUUGUAAACCGCCUUCGCCUGGUGACCAAACGUGAGUGACCGGAAUGGGUAAAGAAGCACCGGGUAACUACGUGCCCACAGCCCCGGUGAUACGUUAGGUGCGAGCCGUGUCCCGAAUUAUUGGGCGUAAAGGGCUCUUAAGUGGGUGAUCCCCGCAGAAAUGGAAUCUUGGGGGCUAAACCUGAACGUGCCUUCCAAAACGGUUUGACUUGAGGAAAGUUAGGGAAAAAGGAAAUUCCUGUGGAAGCGGGGAAAAGCCCCAAAUUCAGGAGGAACCCCGGGGGGGAAGAGGGUUCUCUAGGCCUUUCUUAACCUUAGGACCAAAAGCUGGGGGAACGAACCGGCUAAAAACCCUGGAAGCCCACGCUGUAAACGGUGGGUACUAGUUGGGGGUCCAUUUCCACGGUUCCGUGCCGUAGCUAACCCCUUAAGUACCCCCCCUGGGGAGUACGCCGCCAAGGUAAAACUCAAAGGAAAUGACGGGGCCCCCGCACAAGCGGCGGACCAUCCGGAUUAAUUCGAUGCACCGCGUAGACCCUUACUUGGGUUGAACAUGAUUCGGGAGUGCUCAGAGAUGGGUGUGCCUCUUUUGGGGUCGGUUCACAGGUGGUGCAUGGCUGUCGUCAGCUCGUGUCGUGAGAUGUUGGGUUAAGUCCCGCAACGAGCGCAACCCUUGUUCACUGUUGCCAGCACGUUAUGGCGGGGACUCAGUGGAGACCGCCGGGGUCAACUCGGAGGAAGGUGGGGAUGACGUCAAGUCAUCAUGCCCCUUAUGUCCAGGGCUUCACGCAUGCUACAAUGGCUGGUACAGAGAGUGGCGAGCCUGUAAGGGUGAGCGAAUCUCGGAAAGCCGGUCUCAGUUCGGAUUGGGGUCUGCAACUCGACCUCAUGAAGUCGGAGUCGCUAGUAAUCGCAGAUCAGCAACGCUGCGGUGAAUACGUUCCCGGGGCU
RNAcentral lists this ribosomal RNA (1350 nucleotides) under uncultured bacterium. RNAcentral's name for it is "bacterial SSU rRNA". It matches the Rfam family "Bacterial small subunit ribosomal RNA", at positions 28 to 1381 of the family's 1533-position model. The record is from RNAcentral.